CAAUAGCGUAUAUUAAAUUGUUGCGGUUAAAAGCUCGAAAUUGGAUUUCUGCCGAGGACGACCGGUCCGCCCUCUGGGUGAGUAUCUGGCUCGGCCUGGGCAUCUUCUUGGAGAACGUAGCUGCACUUGACUGUGUGGUGCGGUAUCCAGGACUUUACUCUUGAGGAAAUUAGAGUGUUUCAAGCAAGCUUACGCCUUGAAUACAUUAGCAUGGGAUAAUAAGACAGGACCUCGGUUCUAUUUUGUUGGUUUCUAAAACUGAAGUAAAGAUUAAUAUGGAUAGUUGGGGGCAUUCGUAUUUAAUUGUCAGAGGUGAAAUUCUUGGAUUCGUUAAAGACGGACUACUGCGAAAGCAUUUGCCAAGGAUGUUUUCAUUGA
This 378-nucleotide ribosomal RNA is filed under the name uncultured eukaryote. RNAcentral describes it as "partial 18S ribosomal RNA". It matches the Rfam family "Eukaryotic small subunit ribosomal RNA", at positions 592 to 976 of the family's 1831-position model. The record is from RNAcentral.